GAAGGAGGAGCUUGCUUCUCCGGAUGAGUUGCGAACGGGUGAGUAACGCGUAGGUAACCUGCCUGGUAGCGGGGGAUAACUAUUGGAAACGAUAGCUAAUACCGCAUAAGAGUAGAUGUUGCAUGACAUUUGCUUAAAAGGUGCAAUUGCAUCACUACCAGAUGGACCUGCGUUGUAUUAGCUAGUUGGUGGGGUAACGGCUCACCAAGGCGACGAUACAUAGCCGACCUGAGAGGGUGAUCGGCCACACUGGGACUGAGACACGGCCCAGACUCCUACGGGAGGCAGCAGUAGGGAAUCUUCGGCAAUGGACGGAAGUCUGACCGAGCAACGCCGCGUGAGUGAAGAAGGUUUUCGGAUCGUAAAGCUCUGUUGUAAGAGAAGAACGAGUGUGAGAGUGGAAAGUUCACACUGUGACGGUAUCUUACCAGAAAGGGACGGCUAACUACGUGCCAGCAGCCGCGGUAAUACGUAGGUCCCGAGCGUUGUCCGGAUUUAUUGGGCGUAAAGCGAGCGCAGGCGGUUAGAUAAGUCUGAAGUUAAAGGCUGUGGCUUAACCAUAGUACGCUUUGGAAACUGUUUAACUUGAGUGCAAGAGGGGAGAGUGGAAUUCCAUGUGUAGCGGUGAAAUGCGUAGAUAUAUGGAGGAACACCGGUGGCGAAAG
RNAcentral lists this ribosomal RNA (665 nucleotides) under uncultured Bacilli bacterium. RNAcentral describes it as "bacterial SSU rRNA". It matches the Rfam family "Bacterial small subunit ribosomal RNA", at positions 69 to 721 of the family's 1533-position model. The record is from RNAcentral. Lineage: Bacteria; Bacillati; Bacillota; Bacilli.